Molecule: long non-coding RNA, 1363 nt
Organism: Quercus lobata
Lineage: Eukaryota; Viridiplantae; Streptophyta; Magnoliopsida; Fagales; Fagaceae
Exons: 5
Source: RefSeq, a predicted model, not a curated record
AAAAGCGUUAAAACGCAGAUGCAGCAGGUUUAAGUGCUGUGUGUUUUUCCAUUGAGCCGUUGGGUUCAAGGGGGUUAAAAUACAGAUCAAACGGCUAGCAAUUGUGCCAUAAGCCGCUGGGUUCACAAAAGCUAACGGCUAGCAAUUUUGAGGGAUUCUCAGGAGCUCUUUGUUGUUCAUUGAAAAUCCAAAGGGAGAUUCUUGAGAGGAGAAGUAGAAACAGAGAGAGAGAGAAAAAAAAAAAAAAAAUACACGCACACAACCCACAAUCUAUAACAGUUCCAUCCAAAACCCCAAAUCUCCAAAACCCACACACAGAACAGAGACACCAAACCUCAACCACCGAAAGCCCCAAAAUCAGAACCCAAAACACAAAGCCAAACUUCAAACAUCGUACCUACACAAACCCACAAAGAAAAACCCAUAUCUCACCCAGAUGAAGCUCCGCUGCUUCACUCCAAAGCCAGCACAGACACCAAGGAGGACCACCACCACCACCACUAGGUGAAAACCGCUAGGUGCUCCAUCUCAAGCUCGGCUCUUCCAACUUGAGAAAGGAUGAUGUCAUGGUUAUUUUCUAUACUUUAUAUCUACGCUUGUUGCUACCUGUGAAGGGUGGCUUUGCUGGACUAAUGUGUGUGGGUUUUAACUCUAGGACUUUACCAACAAUUGAAUGAGGGAGGCACAUCUGGCUUAUAUUAGAUGUUGGUUGUGGUAUUGCUAGCUUUGGUGUCUAUUUACUGGACAAAAAUGUCCUUACCAUGUCAUUUGCUCCAAGGAUAAGCAUGAAGCUGAGAUACAGUUUGAUCUUGAAGGGGGGAGUGCUUGCUACUCUGUCUGUCAUUGGAACACGAAGGCUGACCUUUCUGGACAAAGCAUAUGAUUUGAUUCGUUGUGCACAUUGCGAGGUUCACUGGGAUGCAAAUUGUACUUUAUGCGACUGCUUUUCACUAUUAAGUCUGGAGUACUAAAUUUUUUCAUCCCCAUUGAUGUACCAAAUACUCUAUCCAUUAUACCUGACAGACGGUUGAUUGGAAUCUAUCAUGACUGGUGCAAGUCUUUUAAUUCCUAUCCUCGACCUUAUGAUCUACUGCAUUCCAGCUUUUUCUUUAGAAAUCUCACACACCAGCGAACUGGCUUGCUGCCCUUUUAACCAAUGGUGAAGAAUCAGCGCCAAAGAGGGGCAGAGAGGUGCCUCUGAAGAGAUCUAAGAUGCAAAGCUCAAAGUCACAAAGAAGUCUAGAGCCGAGUCAGUGAUGCACGCACCUCGCAAGAAGACAUGUCCAAGCGCUACGACCAUUACAAUAAUGUUCCAUAGAAAGAGAGAUGAAGGAGGGGACUAAUGGUUAGAGUGAAUUAAUAU